CUCGAGCCCCCCCAGGCCUGGACCUCGAGCCCCCCCAGGCCUGGACCCCGAGCCCCCCCAGGCCUGGACCUCGAGCCCCCCCAGGUCUGGACCUCGAGCCCCCCACCCCAGGCCUGGACCUCGAGCCCCCCAGGCCUGGACCUCGAGCUUGGCUUCCCCUGUGGAGAGUGGAGCCUGAGCGGCCCAGGCCCCGAGCCUCCAGCCCCGGGUGGUGUGUGCUUCCGGGAGACGCGCCCAGCGCCCCAACACAGAGGGACAGAAAAGUUGCCCCAGCAUCGACCCAGGCACACAGCUCCCCGGUGAGAGGCUGCAUGGGCAUGUGAGUGCGUGUGAGCUUCUCACAGCUGAGAAGCGGGCCUGGUCCCUCGGCGUGGUGGGUGGAGACCCCGGAUGCGGGGGCUUGCUGGCCGCUCCAGGGUCAGGAGAGAGCCUGUCUACAGGGGAACCACAACCACAUCUGCCCUCCUCCUCCGAGUGGCCGCACAGGUCGCCGCCACAGACACACCCCACAGACAGCACAGCCCCCAGAGCACGGAAACAGCGGCCCUGUGAGAGCGGCCUUCCUCAGGGGCUGCGCUCGCUGCCUCCCUGCCAAGCCCUCACUCACCCCAGAGUCCACAGCACGGGGAGGACGAGCGGGAGGGCAGCCUCAAGGCAGAGGCCGGACAAGGGGGCAGAUCGGCCAGAACCUAUGGUCUGUGAAGGCCACCCCCAGUCCUGCAAGGGGGAUUCCAGGCAGGGGCUCUACCCCCGAGCCACCCCCAGCCCCUCACUGGGGGACUCUAGGCAGGGGCUCUACCCCUGAGCCACACCCCAGCCCCUCACUGGGAGAUCCUAGGCAGGGGCUCUACCCCCAAGCCACCCCCAGUCCUGCAAGGGGGAUUCUAGGCAGGGGCUCCACCACUGAGCACACCCCAGGCCCUCACUUCAUUCUAUGUACUCUGAUUUUGAGGUACACCCUAUUGUGCUCAUUUUUAAACUAUCUUAUUUGGAGUAUCUAGGCUCCCCCCCAACCCUUCAACCCGACGAGAGAAGGUUAGUGGGGAGAGUGGUGCAGACCCCUUUACUUCUCUCGCUGUUUAAGGUUGAUGGGUUCUUUGGGGCUACGCCAGUCUCCAUCCAUGUGCCGUGAAGCGUCUCUCCUGGGCCUUUCCAAACCGCCACACUGUCGUUCUCUGGUUUCUCCAAACUGCCACACUUUUUUUCUGGGCUCCUAUUUAUAUCUCUCAGAGUCCUCAUGCCCCUCUCUGUGCUGCACGAGGCAGGCUGUUACCAAGACCAGCAGGAGGCACUUAUCAGCUGUGGACUAAAACCCCACACUUGAGACUAAAACAAAAACAUUUACAAAACAUAACUUCAUUUUGAAAGAAACCAAAACAUCCAUUACAGCACCCCAUUCUUUUUCAUUGUUUAAGGUUGGAAUUCGAGACAGUCUCACUAAGUUGCUGAGGCUGGUCUUGAACGUGUGAUCUUUCUCCCUUGGGGCUCACAAGUAGGUGGACCAGAUGAGGUUUCCUCUCAGAAAAGACUUGAAGCUUUUGCUGUGUUGUUUCUGUGGUUGGAGUCUCUCCUGAAGGGUGGAGGUGUUCAUGCCCCAGGCUGGGUGCUCUGGGAGCUGAGAGUGAGUGGAAGCAGGCCAGGCCCCAGAGGUUCCCUGGGGCUUGUCCUGCCCCCGGCCCAGGCAAGAGCAGCCGUCUCUGCACCAGGAGCCACAGAAAUCUUUCCUCUUCUCGGCUCGUCAGGUGCCUGACACACAACAGAAAGCUAACGCAGGCCACAGUGGAAGGCCUUCAUCUGGACCCGCACACGCAGGCACUGCUUUAGUCUGUUAGUUCCUUCUCAACAGAGCAAGGAACAGGGAGGUUAAGGGUCACAUGGCUGGCGCGGAUUCUGGCCACACCAUUCCGGAGAGAGGCCCGAGCCACUGUGCUGCCUUUCACCAAACAGGGUGAGGUCACCUUGCACAGGUGCCUUCCCUGGGCGGGUUUCAGCCUGCAGACCUCAGGGAGCGCCCCCUGGUGGAGACCUGGGGAGGAGCGCCCCCUGGUGGAGACCUCAGGAUGGCCACCCCCUGGUGGAGACCUCACGGAGCGCCCCCUCGUGGAGACCUGGGGAGGAGCGCCUGACUGCCAGCACUGGAAACUGGAGGCUGAAUCAGGAGUUCAAGGUCACGCUCGGCUUCUUAAGAGUUCCAGGCCAGCCUAGGCUGCUCGGCACCCCGCUCAAAACAAACGAGCAGGGCCUGCGGCAGCUGCUGUGUUUGCUGUGUUCGCUGCUGUGUUCGCUGUUUGCUGUUUGGUGGAUUCCAGGGGUGGGCAGCAAAAAGGAGAAACCCUUCAUUAUCUCAGAAACAACAGUAAAGACAAACAACCCCAAACCCACAAUACAAUCAAAUCAGAACCGUCCCCCUGUGCCUGUGGCCCUUUACUCUCCCAAGUGCCGGCGUCUCCGUGCCUCACCCAGGAAGGGUGUGGAGCAGGGUCAGGCGGGACGUGCUCCCUUCAACUGCAGAACUCAAUUCGCGCCGUGGCCGUGGCCACAGCUGACCAAGACCCUCACGGCAGCUGCCUUCCUGGAGACUGGGUUGGGACCCAGAGUGACGCCCCUGUGAGCAGAGCUCAGGCCUGCUGAAGCCACGCUUGGUAACUCCCUCGCGCUCUCCAUGUGUACCUACUCAGCGAUAGAUACAGUUCUGAACAUGUAAUUGUACCGAAUAUAAUUGUAUCUUCACUUUUAAAGAAUUGUGUAAACUUUAUAAAAUUCCCGCUGGCCUGCAGCUCGCAGAGCUCGAGGGCCUCUGGGCUGUUGCUGUGGAGCAGGCUGGCGAGGCUGAGAGCUGGCGUCACAGCCACGCCCGCCUUCUGUAGCUGUGUGACUGUGGGACCCUGAAGUCGCCCGAACCGCCGCCUCGCCCAGAAAAGGUGUCGGAGACAACACGCCACGCGGGGCUCCUCUUCUGCACCGAGCCCCAUCUCACGGCUCGGAGCACGCAAAUCCCAGAUGUGGAUGCGGCCUCUCUCCCCUUCACCCCCACUCUUGGACUGGUGGUGGGCAGAUUGGAGGCCCCACCCGG
Psammomys obesus (fat sand rat) is the source of this 3073-nucleotide long non-coding RNA. RefSeq lists it as uncharacterized. The transcript has 3 exons. The record is from RefSeq and is a predicted model, not a curated record. NCBI's taxonomy places the organism in Eukaryota, Metazoa, Chordata, Mammalia, Rodentia, Muridae.